This is a long non-coding RNA of Brassica napus (rape), 751 nucleotides long. RefSeq lists it as uncharacterized. The transcript has 2 exons. NCBI's taxonomy places the organism in Eukaryota, Viridiplantae, Streptophyta, Magnoliopsida, Brassicales, Brassicaceae. The record is from RefSeq and is a predicted model, not a curated record.
UGCAAAUCUGGAAUUGUUACUGUGUACUUUCAAUAAUACCACUGUUAUCCUAUCAAUUGCUCUUUCAUUUUUUCAUUUUUUCAAUUUCCCGUCACUUUUUCUCUCUCUCUCAAACCAAAAGAAAAGCAAGUAAAAAUAAUCAGUGUUAUCGUCCAAAUCUUAAUUUCUGGAUUUAGUUCUGAUGAUCCUGAGUUUUCGUUUGUUUGGUAAAAACUUUGGCUUAGUUCUUCUUAUGUGCUUCUUCUUUUCCCGAAUCUUGAUAUUUCCUGUGAGCAUAAGGAAAUAUAUAUGUCUUUUAUGUGAUUGGAAAAGAAGAGAUCAGAGCUAAUGGUUGUGGAACUGGCGGCGAAGAACAAGGUCAGGAUUAUGGGGCUGACGGUGGCAGAGAUCGUGGAUGGUGAUGGUGAUGGUGAUGAGGUCACUUUAUGUAAUGUUUGCCAAAAUCGUGUUCAGACUGAUAAUAUUUUUAAUCUCUGAUUUUUACGUUUGAGUUAAUCUAAAAGUUAACAUAUUAUGCUCAUGACUUAUCCGAACAACCAAUAUAUUAGCCGAUCAUGCAAAGUUUUAUCAUGUGUUGUGAUUUGCUAGAGAGUUAAUUUUAUGCUUAGCCGAACAUGUAAAUUUUUAUCAUGUGUUGUAAUUGAUUAGAGAGUUAAACUUUAUGUUUAGUCGAACACAUCAAUUUGUACAUACAACAAUUCAUACCAUAUACAAGUCGAUUAGUCACUAAUAUAAAUCAUACAUAACUAUA